Molecule: transfer RNA, 77 nt
Filed under: Gillisella vitis
Lineage: Bacteria; Pseudomonadati; Pseudomonadota; Alphaproteobacteria; Hyphomicrobiales; Rhizobiaceae
Also listed under: 20 other names
Description: Agrobacterium vitis (Allorhizobium vitis) tRNA-Arg
Rfam family: tRNA
About the family: Transfer RNA (tRNA) molecules are approximately 80 nucleotides in length. Their secondary structure includes four short double-helical elements and three loops (D, anti-codon, and T loops).
Source: RNAcentral
GGUUCCGUAGCUCAGCAGGAUAGAGCAUCAGAUUCCUAAUCUGAGGGUCACGCGUUCGAAUCGCGUCGGAAUCACCA